Molecule: ribosomal RNA, 400 nt
Filed under: phytoplankton environmental sample
Lineage: Eukaryota
Description: partial small subunit ribosomal RNA
Rfam family: Eukaryotic small subunit ribosomal RNA
Source: RNAcentral
AGCUCCAAGAGCGUAUAUUAAAGUUGUUGCAGUUAAAAAGCUCGUAGUUGGAUUUCUGGUACAACGCGCCUGUCCGGCAUUUGUCAGUGACGGUGCGCGUUUGCCAUCCUUCUAGAAAACGUUUCUACCCGGGCAACUGGGCCGGACUCGCGAUCUAGAUCUUUUACUUUGAAAAAAUUAGAGUGUUUAAAGCAGGCAUUUGCUGUGAAUACAUUAGCAUGGAAUAAUGAUCUAGGACUUCGGUUCUAUUUUGUUGGUUUCUAGUACUGAAGUAAUGAUUGAUAGGGAUAGUUGGGGGUGCUAGUAUUGGCCGGCCAGAGGUGAAAUUCUUGGAUUCGGUCAAGACUAACUUAUGCGAAAGCAUUCACCAAGGAUGUCUUCUUUAAUCAAGAACGAAAGU